Long non-coding RNA from Ananas comosus (pineapple), 547 nucleotides. RefSeq lists it as uncharacterized. The transcript is spliced from 2 exons. NCBI's taxonomy places the organism in Eukaryota, Viridiplantae, Streptophyta, Magnoliopsida, Poales, Bromeliaceae. The record is from RefSeq and is a predicted model, not a curated record.
CGAUAGCAUCUAGCUAGCUAGGUGCAGAGCUAGACAUCUUGUUGUGCAAUAUUUCAAAAAGCACGGCCGCAUAUGCGGUGCAGUGCCUGGUUGGGUUUUCUCUCUCUCUCUCUCUCUCUCUCUCUCGAUCUCUCCAGAAGAAAAAGAAGCAGCAGCAGCAGCAGCAGCGUGCGGCGCGCGGCGAGCUGCAGGGAGCAAAGCGCGAGCGGCGAGCGCUGGCUGAGAACGAGCCACCUGCCCGGCCUCCCUUUCUGUCUGCGCUGACUGAGGCCGAGCCGCCGCCUACCCGGUCCCGUUCUCUCUGUCUAGCCUUCCACACCGGACGAGGCUAGGGAUCGCGGAAAGGGCAUUGCCUCGAGCUAGCCCUUUGGCGAGGGACGUAUCGAUAGGUGGUCUACCUCUCAUCGGUUUUAUUUUGGAGAGGUUGAGAGUUGUACCAUGUAUAGAGACCACCCAUUUUGUAUUUUGAGACAGUUGAUGUAUCUACUUUAUGCUUUAUCUUUGGUGGAUUAGUUUUCUUUUUUCUCUACUUGUUCUUAGAAUUUAA